UGGGGAAUAUUGGGCAAUGGGCGAAAGCCUGACCCAGCAACGCCGCGUGAGUGAUGAAGGCCUUCGGGUUGUAAAACUCUUUGGACAGGGACGAAGAAAGUGACGGUACCUGUAGAACAAGCCACGGCUAACUACGUGCCAGCAGCCGCGGUAAUACGUAGGUGGCGAGCGUUAUCCGGAUUUACUGGGCGUAAAGGGUGCGUAGGUGGUCUUUCAAGUCGGUGGUUAAAGGCUACGGCUCAACCGUAGUUAGCCUCCGAAACUGGAAGACUUGAGUGCAGGAGAGGAAAGUGGAAUUCCCAGUGUAGCGGUGAAAUGCGUAGAUAUUGGGAGGAACACCAGUAGCGAAGGCGGCUUUCUGGACUGCAACUGACACUGAGGCACGAAAGCGUGGGUAGCAAACAGG
Molecule: ribosomal RNA, 406 nt
Filed under: Verrucomicrobiota bacterium
Lineage: Bacteria; Pseudomonadati; Verrucomicrobiota
Description: Verrucomicrobia bacterium partial 16S ribosomal RNA
Rfam family: Bacterial small subunit ribosomal RNA
Source: RNAcentral